AUACGGAGGAUCCGAGCGUUAUCCGGAUUUAUUGGGUUUAAAGGGUGCGCAGGCGGCCAUUUAAGUCAGCGGUUAAAUCGUGGGGCUCAACCCAAUUCUGCCGUUGAUACUGGGUGGCUUGAUUGCGGUCGAGGUUGGCGGAAUUCGUUGUGUAGCGGGGAAAUGCAUAGAUAUGACGAAGAACACCGAUUGCGUAGGCAGCUGACCAGACCGCAAAUGACGCUCAUGCACGAAAGUGCGGGGAUCGAACAGGAUUAGAUACCCUGGUAGUCCGCACAGUAAACGAUGAAUACUUGUUUUCGGCGAUAUAAUGUCGGAGGCAAAGCGAAAGCGAUAAGUAUUCCACCUGGGGAGUACGCCGGCAACGGUGAAACUCAAAUGAAUUGACGGGG
Molecule: ribosomal RNA, 392 nt
Filed under: uncultured bacterium
Lineage: Bacteria
Description: partial 16S ribosomal RNA
Rfam family: Bacterial small subunit ribosomal RNA
Source: RNAcentral